Molecule: ribosomal RNA, 303 nt
Filed under: uncultured bacterium
Lineage: Bacteria
Description: bacterial SSU rRNA
Rfam family: Bacterial small subunit ribosomal RNA
Source: RNAcentral
GACGAACGCUGGCGGCGUGCUUAACACAUGCAAGUGGAGCGACGAACCGGGCUUCGGCCCGGGCAAAGCCGCGAACGGGUGAGUAACACGUGGGUAACCUGCCCCGAUGACUGGGAUAACCCGAGGAAACUCGGGCUAAUACCGGAUGUGCUCACAUCACAUCAGUGUUGUGAGUAAAGGUAGCUUCGGCCUCCGCAUCGGGAUGGGCCCGCGGCGCAUUAGCUUGUUGGUGGGGAACGGCCUACCAAGGCGACGAUGCGUAGCUGGUCUGAGAGGACGAUCAGCCACACUGGGACUGAGACA